RNAcentral lists this ribosomal RNA (252 nucleotides) under uncultured bacterium. RNAcentral's name for it is "partial 16S ribosomal RNA". It matches the Rfam family "Bacterial small subunit ribosomal RNA", at positions 524 to 776 of the family's 1533-position model. The record is from RNAcentral.
UACGUAGGUCCCGAGCGUUGUCCGGAUUUAUUGGGCGUAAAGCGAGCGCAGGUGGUUUAUUAAGUCUGGUGUAAAAGGCAGUGGCUCAACCAUUGUAUGCAUUGGAAACUGGUAGACUUGAGUGCAGGAGAGGAGAGUGGAAUUCCAUGUGUAGCGGUGAACUGCGUAGAUAUAUGGAGGAACACCGGUGGCGAAAGCGGCUCUCUGGCCUGUAACUGACACUGAGGCUCGAAAGCGUGGGGAGCAAACAGG